Rosa chinensis is the source of this 195-nucleotide long non-coding RNA. RefSeq lists it as uncharacterized. NCBI's taxonomy places the organism in Eukaryota, Viridiplantae, Streptophyta, Magnoliopsida, Rosales, Rosaceae. The transcript has 3 exons. The record is from RefSeq and is a predicted model, not a curated record.
UCUAAAGCUUGAUUAGUACGAGAAUUCUGUUAUCUAAAGUUGGGUUACUGCAUAUUUACCUCACUAGCAAUCUAAUUUCAUGUUAUGUUGCAGUGGAGAUAUGUAGGCUGCUAUUGAUAGUGUAUCAAAGGCUUCUCAAGGUAAUGAAUGAAGUAUUGGCGAUCAACCCCAGUUUUGCAUGUCUGCACAGUACUG